RNAcentral lists this ribosomal RNA (495 nucleotides) under uncultured bacterium. Its description in RNAcentral is "partial 16S ribosomal RNA". It matches the Rfam family "Bacterial small subunit ribosomal RNA", at positions 28 to 507 of the family's 1533-position model. The record is from RNAcentral.
GAUGAACGCUGGCGGCGUGCCUAAUACAUGCAAGUAGAACGCUGAAGGAGGAGCUUGCUCUUCUGGAUGAGUUGCGAACGGGUGAGUAACGCGUAGGUAACCUGCCUGGUAGCGGGGGAUAACUAUUGGAAACGAUAGCUAAUACCGCCUGACAACAGUUAUUGCAUGAUAACUGUUUAAAAGGGGCAACUGCUCCACUACCAGAUGGACCUGCGUUGUAUUAGCUAGGUGGUGAGGUAACGGCUCAACAAGGCGACGGUACAUAGCCGACGUGCGAGGGGGGUCGGCCCACAUGGGACCGAGACACCGCCCAGGAUCCCUACGGGGGGAGCAGUAGGGGAACUUCGGAAAUGGGCGGAAGGCUGAACGCGGCAAUGCGCGGGAGUGAAGAAGGGUUUUGGGUUGGAAAGCUCUGUUGUAAGGGAAGAAAGAGUGGGAGAGUGGAAAGUUCACACUGUGACGGUACCUUACCAGAAAGCGACGGCUAACUACGUG